GGGGGUGUAGCUCAGCUGGUUAGAGCGCCGGCCUGUCACGCCGGAGGUCGCGGGUUCGAGUCCCGUCACUCUCGCCA
Molecule: transfer RNA, 77 nt
Filed under: Candidatus Micropelagius thuwalensis
Lineage: Bacteria; Pseudomonadati; Pseudomonadota; Alphaproteobacteria
Description: Candidatus Micropelagos thuwalensis tRNA-Asp
Rfam family: tRNA
About the family: Transfer RNA (tRNA) molecules are approximately 80 nucleotides in length. Their secondary structure includes four short double-helical elements and three loops (D, anti-codon, and T loops).
Source: RNAcentral